RNAcentral lists this ribosomal RNA (474 nucleotides) under Elizabethkingia sp. YC39A. Its description in RNAcentral is "bacterial SSU rRNA". It matches the Rfam family "Bacterial small subunit ribosomal RNA", at positions 37 to 514 of the family's 1533-position model. The record is from RNAcentral. Lineage: Bacteria; Pseudomonadati; Bacteroidota; Flavobacteriia; Flavobacteriales; Weeksellaceae.
UUUACGGGAGCUACACAUGCAGCCGAGCGGUAGAGAUUCUUCGGGAUCUUGAGAGCGGCGUACGGGUGCGGAACACGUGUGCAACCUGCCUUUAUCAAGGGGAUAGCCUUUCGAAAGGAAGAUUAAUACCCUAUAAUAUAUGAUUCGGCAUCGGAUUAUAUUGAAAACUACGGUGGAUAAAGAUGGGCACGCGCAAGAUUAGCUAGUUGGUGAGGUAACGGCUCACCAAGGCGACGAUCUUUAGGGGGCCUGAGAGGGUGAUCCCCCACACUGGUACUGAGACACGGACCAGACUCCUACGGGAGGCAGCAGUGAGGAAUAUUGGACAAUGGGUGGAAGCCUGAUCCAGCCAUCCCGCGUGUAGGAAGACGGCCCUAUGGGUUGUAAACUACUUUUAUCUGGGGAUAAACCUACUUACGUGUAAGUAGCUGAAGGUACCAGAUGAAUAAGCACCGGCUAACUCCGUGCCAGACC